CAGGAUGAACGCUAGCGACAGGCUUAACACAUGCAAGUCGAGGGGCAGCAUAAAAGUAGCAAUACUUGGUGGCGACCGGCGCACGGGUGAGUAACGCGUAUGCAACCUACCUAUCAGAGGGGAAUAACCCGGCGAAAGUCGGACUAAUACCGCAUAAAACAGGGACACCGCAUGGUGAUAUUUGUUAAAGAAAUUCGCUGAUAGAUGGGCAUGCGUUCCAUUAGGUAGUUGGUGAGGUAACGGCUCACCAAGCCGACGAUGGAUAGGGGAACUGAGAGGUUGGUCCCCCACACUGGUACUGAGACACGGACCAGACUCCUACGGGAGGCAGCAGUGAGGAAUAUUGGUCAAUGGACGAGAGUCUGAACCAGCCAAGUCGCGUGCAGGAAGAAUGUCCCUAUGGAUUGUAAACUGCUUUUGCAGGGGAAUAAAGUGCAUCACGUGUGAUGUUUUGUAUGUACUCUGCGAAUAAGGAUCGGCUAACUCCGUGCCAGCCGCCGC
This 501-nucleotide ribosomal RNA is filed under the name uncultured bacterium. RNAcentral's name for it is "bacterial SSU rRNA". It matches the Rfam family "Bacterial small subunit ribosomal RNA", at positions 25 to 518 of the family's 1533-position model. The record is from RNAcentral.